UCCCAGAGGAUUUGUCAGCUGACGUGGG
RNAcentral lists this non-coding RNA (28 nucleotides) under Mus musculus (house mouse). The record is from RNAcentral. Lineage: Eukaryota; Metazoa; Chordata; Mammalia; Rodentia; Muridae.